UGGGGAAUAUUGCACAAUGGGCGCAAGCCUGAUGCAGCGACGCCGCGUGGGGGAUGACGGCCUUCGGGUUGUAAACCCCUUUCGGCAGGGAACAAGCCCCUUGGGGUGAGGGUACCUGCGGAAGAAGCGCCGGCUAACUACGUGCCAGCAGCCGCGGUAAUACGUAGGGCGCGAGCGUUAUCCGGAAUUAUUGGGCGUAAAGAGCUCGUAGGCGGUUUGUCGCGUCUGCUGUGAAAGCCCGGGGCUCAACCCCGGGUCUGCAGUGGGUACGGGCAGGCUGGAGUGCAGUAGGGGAGACUGGAAUUCCUGGUGUAGCGGUGAAAUGCGCAGAUAUCAGGAGGAACACCGAUGGCGAAGGCAGGUCUCUGGGCUGUAACUGACGCUGAGGAGCGAAAGCAUGGGGAGCGAACAGG
RNAcentral lists this ribosomal RNA (413 nucleotides) under Bacillota bacterium. Its description in RNAcentral is "Firmicutes bacterium partial 16S ribosomal RNA". It matches the Rfam family "Bacterial small subunit ribosomal RNA", at positions 355 to 776 of the family's 1533-position model. Lineage: Bacteria; Bacillati; Bacillota. The record is from RNAcentral.